GUGCACCAGUCGCGAAAACUUCGCAAUACACGAAAGUGUGACGAGGCCAUCCCGAGUGCCAUCCGCUGAGGAUGGCUUUUCCCCAGUGUAGAUAGCUGGGGGAAUAAGGAGAGGGCAAGUCUGGUGUCAGCCGCCGCGGUAAUACCAGCUCUUCGAGUGGUGGGGAUGUUUAUUGGGCCUGAAGCAUCCGUAGCUGGCUGAGCAAGUUCUCCGUUAAAUCCAGCGAUUUAAUCGUUGGACUGCGGGGGAUACUGUUCGGCUAGGGGGCGGGAGAGGCCGACGGUAUUCUCGGGGUAGGGGUGAAAUCCUAUAAUCCCGGGAAGACCACCAGUGGCGAAGGCUGUCGGCUAGAACGCGCCCGACGGUGAGGGAUGAAAGCUGGGGGAGCGAACCGGAUUAGAUACCCGGGUAGUCC
RNAcentral lists this ribosomal RNA (415 nucleotides) under uncultured crenarchaeote. RNAcentral describes it as "partial 16S ribosomal RNA". It matches the Rfam family "Archaeal small subunit ribosomal RNA", at positions 330 to 747 of the family's 1478-position model. The record is from RNAcentral. Lineage: Archaea; Thermoproteati; Thermoproteota.